CCUACGGGAGGCAGCAGUGGGGAAUAUUGGACAAUGGGGGCAACCCUGAUCCAGCAAUGCCGCGUGAGUGAUGAAGGCCUUAGGGUUGUAAAGCUCUUUUACCAGGGAUGAUAAUGACAGUACCUGGAGAAUAAGCUCCGGCUAACUCCGUGCCAGCAGCCGCGGUAAUACGGAGGGAGCUAGCGUUGUUCGGAAUUACUGGGCGUAAAGCGCACGUAGGCGGUUACUCAAGUCAGAGGUGAAAGCCCGGGGCCAACCCGGAACUGCCUUUGAAACUAGGUAACUAGAAUCCUGGAGAGGUGAGUGGAAUUCCCGAGUGUAGAGGUGAAAUUCGUAGAUAUUCGGAAGAACACCAGUGGCGAAGGCGGCUC
This 371-nucleotide ribosomal RNA is filed under the name uncultured bacterium. Its description in RNAcentral is "bacterial SSU rRNA". It matches the Rfam family "Bacterial small subunit ribosomal RNA", at positions 338 to 727 of the family's 1533-position model. The record is from RNAcentral.